Molecule: ribosomal RNA, 117 nt
Filed under: Paramormyrops kingsleyae
Lineage: Eukaryota; Metazoa; Chordata; Actinopteri; Osteoglossiformes; Mormyridae
Source: RNAcentral
GUCAGCAGUCAUGCCACCUGCAGUUGAGACUAGGAAAUCCAUCUGACGCUAAGCAGGUUUGGGCCUGCCCAGUACUUGGAUAGGAGACCGACUGGGAAUGCUGGGUUGCUGCUGGAG